CGAGAAAGCCCGCAAGGGUGAGUAAAGCGGCGCACGGGUGCGUAACACGUGGGUAAUCUGCCCUAGAGUCUGGAAUAACUCGCCGAAAGGCGUGCUAAUGCCGGAUAAGACCACGGGAGCUUCGGCUCCUGCGGGAAAAGGUGGCCUCUGUAUACAAGCUAUCGCUCUAGGAUGAGCCCGCGGCCCAUCAGCUAGUUGGCGGGGUAAUGGCCCACCAAGGCUACGACGGGUAGCUGGUCUGAGAGGACGAUCAGCCACACUGGAACUGAGACACGGUCCAGACUCCUACGGGAGGCAGCAGUGGGGAAUCUUGCGCAAUGGGCGAAAGCCUGACGCAGCAACGCCGCGUGUGUGAUGAAGGCCUUCGGAUCGUAAAGCACUGUCGCGAGGGACG
This 394-nucleotide ribosomal RNA is filed under the name uncultured Anaeromyxobacter sp. RNAcentral's name for it is "bacterial SSU rRNA". It matches the Rfam family "Bacterial small subunit ribosomal RNA", at positions 67 to 447 of the family's 1533-position model. Lineage: Bacteria; Pseudomonadati; Myxococcota; Myxococcia; Myxococcales; Anaeromyxobacteraceae. The record is from RNAcentral.